UGAGGAAUAUUGGUCAAUGGUCGCAAGACUGAACCAGCCAUGCCGCGUGCAGGAAGACGGUCCUAUGGAUUGUAAACUGCUUUUAUACAGGAAGAAACCCCUCCCACGUGUGGGAGCUUGACGGUACUGUAGGAAUAAGGAUCGGCUAACUCCGUGCCAGCAGCCGCGGUAAUACGGAGGAUCCAAGCGUUAUCCGGAAUCAUUGGGUUUAAAGGGUCCGUAGGCGGUCUUAUAAGUCAGUGGUGAAAAGCCCCAUCGCUCAACGAUGGAACUGCCAUUGAUACUGUAAGACUUGAAUGCUUAGGAAGUAACUAGAAUAUGUAGUGUAGCGGUGAAAUGCUUAGAUAUUACAUGGAAUACCAAUUGCGAAGGCAGGUUACUACUAAGUGAUUGACGCUGAUGGACGAAAGCGUGGGGAGCGAACAGGAUUAGAUACCCUGGUAGUCCACGCCGUAAACGAUGGAUACUAGCUGUUCGGCGCAAGUUGAGUGGCUAAAGCGAAAGUGAUAAGUAUCCCACCUGGGGAGUACGCACGCAAGUGUGAAAACUCAAAGGAAUUGACGGGGUCAUAGCUGUUUCC
Molecule: ribosomal RNA, 580 nt
Filed under: uncultured bacterium
Lineage: Bacteria
Description: partial 16S ribosomal RNA
Rfam family: Bacterial small subunit ribosomal RNA
Source: RNAcentral